AAGCUCGUAAAUGUUCAUUAUUUGGACAAGACAACAUUUAUGAAUGGAAAAGACGAUGAACGGGAAGAGGCUAUGGUUUUUGACACAAGUCCAAGCUUUGAUGAUCUUGCAGUGAAAGUGAGAAGCGUCUUACAUUGGAAUGACCAAAUGGAGGUUGAUCUUAUUGGGAGGUAUGACGUUGGAUUGGGAGUAAAGUCCCGAUUAAAGAGUAUGCCCAUCACCUCCCAAUUGCAUUGGAAUGUGUACAAGGACAAAGUAGACGCAUCACAAGACAAGUCUCUUGAGAUAUUUGCCACAAAGGUUGAUCUUCCUCCCUUGAAAAUUGAUUUGAACCGUAGUGUAUCCUCCCCAAUACAUGAUGGUAGUGCCGAGGUGUAUCUCCCCAAUUAUUCUAGCCAACCACCAAGUAGCCAACCCAAUAAAGAUCAUAUCAAUGCUAGCGCCAUAGUAAUCCGAGAUGAUGCUAUUCCUCUUGUUCAAGAAGAUGCUAGUGGUCAUGUUGAUGAUGAUGCUAUUGUUUCUCAAGAGGAUGCUUACCCGGAGAAUGAACAGAUUCAUUAA
RNAcentral lists this ribosomal RNA (561 nucleotides) under Triticum aestivum (bread wheat). RNAcentral's name for it is "partial small subunit ribosomal RNA". Lineage: Eukaryota; Viridiplantae; Streptophyta; Magnoliopsida; Poales; Poaceae. The record is from RNAcentral.